GAAAAAGCAGAUUUGGUUGGCUGAGCAAAACUGAUCAUUCAAUUCAAUUUAUGUUGAUUAACAACAAUUUCAUAUAUCAAACAUUUAGAGUUAACACAAAAGGCCCAAUGGCUCCAGGAGUCUGCAGUAGUGAUGAGAAUUCCACGUUUUCUGUCACAUGAAAAAGAGGAACAACCCUGAAUACCAGUGGCCUGAAGUGUUUUUUUUUUUUGAGAACACUAGAUUCUUUGCCCCCAGACUCACAAGUAUAAAAAUAGGUUUUCCUCAGAUGCCACUGGAUACAGCCCAUAAUGCCAGGCAGCUGAAUAGCAGACAUUAGCUGUGGAUCAACAAGUCCUUGUGCAUACCUCCAGCUCAGGCCAUGAUAUUUAUGGCUCCAUUUCUGACCAAGGCCCUCUGUUUUGUCAGUCAACCGAUAGCUGUUUUGGAGAUAGCUGUUUUUGCACACUUACACAAGUUCAUUGUACAAGUGAAGCUCACCUUCAGGCCAAGACAAAUAACAUUUGUGUGAGUGUAUUACAUAUGUAAAUUUUGCUAAAAUUAGUUGGAACCCAAGAAACUGAUCUCCAUCAGUAGGUUAGAGCAGAGUGUUGUUGACCUAAAUACACUGCUUUGAAAACAAGCUGGGUGAGCCAACUCAGGCCACAUGAUAUCUGUUCUGCUCUGACUGUGUUGCAAUGACUCCCUCCCCAUGUGCUUCCUGGAAAGUUAAUAUAUAAUGUUGUAUUUAUGUUCAAAUGGGGCUCCUAGCAGUGGGGGGUGGAGGUCUGAAGGUGCCUACUUGGUAUUUAUAUCCAAAUGUCAAAUCCAGAUUAACCAACAAGCACCUUUGUAUUCCGUUUUCAUUUGCAGUGUUUGGAUAAAUACUAGACCCACAGUAACGAAAGCUGUACAUACUAGUGAUAGCACAAACAAAUAAGUCAGUCAUCACAAGAUGGAUUGGGUAAGUGGGUUAAAGGUUAUGAGCAGAGAACAGAAACUACACUUAAGUGAAAACAACCAUGGAGGAGAUGGCCUUUUCUGCUCCCCCUUUUUCAGUUUUUGGUGACGCAGAAAGAGAAAAAAAAAAAAAAAAAAAAAAAACAGUCCACCCACUAAACCGCAAGCACCGAUUGGUCGUUUCAGCACUUUCUAAUGUGCAUUAAACUACAGUUUGGCUCGGUAAUCAUUAAACAAGAAACACUGGGAAUCAAUCAGACUGCCCCGGUUUCGACAAAAUAGAUUUGCAGAUGACACCACAGGGGUGGGUCUCAUAUUGGACAAUGAUGAGACCACCUAGAGAGAGGAGAUUCAGCACCUGACACAAUGGUCAUCCUCAUCCUGAACACUAGCAAAACCAAGGAAGUCAUUGUGGAUCACAGGAGGUCCAGGAAGACAGAACACGCUUCACUCCUCAUACACGUGGAGGCGGUGGAGCGUGUGGAUAACAUCAAGUUCCUGGGUAUCCACAUCACAUCUGAUCUAACCUGGUCUCUGAACACAUCCCACCUGGUGAAGAAAGCCCAACAAAGGCUCUUCUUCCUCAGGAAGUUGAAACGGGCUGGACUCUCCUCUCGGCUGCUCGCAAACUUCUACAGAGCCACAAUAGAAACCAUCCUCACACUCAUUCACUGUGCCUUGAAACUGGAACGUGCGCUGUGCUGCACUUUUGUACGUUCCUCUGCUGCUAAGAUCCAUUGUACAUUUCAUUUUAUUCAUCGCACAUUUUAUUCUGUUUAUUUGAUCUUAUUCUAUUUUAUUUUAUUCUAUUCUUAUCUUACUUUAUUUUUAUUUUUCUGUACAUAUAUAUAUAUAGUGUGUCUAGCUGUUUUUUUCUGUCUGUAUAUUUUAAAGUAUGGUGUCUUUGUCUUUUUCUUAUGCCGAAAGCUACCAAACAAAAUUGUGUUAUGUGGUGCAUAAUGACAAUAAAGAAUUCUUGAUUCUUGA
Molecule: long non-coding RNA, 1926 nt
Organism: Lates calcarifer (barramundi perch)
Lineage: Eukaryota; Metazoa; Chordata; Actinopteri; Centropomidae
Exons: 2
Source: RefSeq, a predicted model, not a curated record